GACGAACGCUGGCGGCGUGCUUAACACAUGCAAGUCGAACGGAAAGGCCCUGCUUUUGUGGGUUGCUCGAGUGGCGAACGGGUGAGUAACACGUGAGUAACCUUCCCUUUACUUUGGGAUACCUUCAGGAAACUGGGGCUAAUACCGGAUAGGAUCUCCUGCUGCAUGGUGUGGGUUGGAUUGUUUCGGCGGUUGGGGAUGGACUCGAGGCUUAUCAGCUUGUUGGUGGGGUAGUGGCUUACCAAGGCUUUGACGGGUAGCCGGCCUGAGAGGGUGACCGGCCACAUUGGGACUGAGAUACGGCCCAGACUCCUACGGGAGGCAGCAGUGGGGAAUAUUGCACAAUGGGCGGAAGCCUGAUGCAGAAACGCCGCGUGCGGGAUGACGGCCUUCGGGUUGUAAACCGCUUUCGCAUGUGACGAAGCGUGAGUGACGGUAAUGGGUAAAGAAGCACCGGCUAACUACGUG
RNAcentral lists this ribosomal RNA (468 nucleotides) under uncultured bacterium. Its description in RNAcentral is "partial 16S ribosomal RNA". It matches the Rfam family "Bacterial small subunit ribosomal RNA", at positions 28 to 507 of the family's 1533-position model. The record is from RNAcentral.